AGCAGCCGCGGUAAUUCCAGCUCCAAUAGCGUAUAUUAAAGUUGUUGUGGUUAAAAAGCUCGUAGUUGAACCUUGGGCCUGGCUGGCCGGUCCGCCUCACCGCGUGCACUGGUCCGGCCGGGCCUUUCCCUCUGUGGAACCCCAUACCCUUCACUGGGCGUGGCGGGGAAACAGGACAUUUACUUUGAAAAAAUUAGAGUGCUCCAGGCAGGCCUAUGCUCGAAUACAUUAGCAUGGAAUAAUAAAAUAGGACGCGCGGUUCUAUUUUGUUGGUUUAUAGGACCGCCGUAAUGAUUAAUAGGGACAGUCGGGGGCAUCAGUAUUCAACUGUCAGAGGUGAAAUUCUUGGAUCAGUUGAAGACUAACUACUGCGAAAGCAUUUUGCCAAGGAUGUUUUCAUUAAUCAGGAACGAAAGUUAGGGGAUCGAAGACGAUCAGAUACCGUCGUAGUCUUAACCAUAAACUAUGCCGACUAGGGAUCGGACGGUGUUAUUCAUGACCCGUUCGGCACCUUACGAGAAAUCAAAGUGCUUGGGCUCCAGGGGGAGUAUGGUCGCAAGGCUGAAACUUAAAGAAAUUGACGGAAGGGCACCACCAGGGGUGGAGCCUGCGGCUUAAUUUGACUCAACACGGGGAAACUCACCAGGUCCAGACACAAUAAGGAUUGACAGAUUGAGAGCUCUUUCUUGAUUUUGUGGGGUGGUGGUGCAUGGCCGUUCUUAGUGGUGGGGUGACUUGUCUGCUUAAUGCGAUACGAGCGAGACCUUAACCUGCUAAAUAGCCCGCAUUGCUCCGGCAGUGCGCUGGCUUCUUAGA
Molecule: ribosomal RNA, 816 nt
Filed under: uncultured fungus
Lineage: Eukaryota; Fungi
Description: SSU rRNA
Rfam family: Eukaryotic small subunit ribosomal RNA
Source: RNAcentral